UCACUUUGGCAGUGCAUACACGAAAACUGGAACAGCACAGAGAAGAUUGGCAUGGUUCUUACACAAGGAUGAGAUGCAAAUUCGUGAAGCAUUCCAUAUUAAA
RNAcentral lists this small nuclear RNA (103 nucleotides) under Catagonus wagneri (Chacoan peccary). The record is from RNAcentral. Lineage: Eukaryota; Metazoa; Chordata; Mammalia; Artiodactyla; Tayassuidae.